UACGUAGGGUGCAAGCGUUAAUCGGAAUUACUGGGCGUAAAGCGUGCGCAGGCGGUGAUGUAAGACAGAUGGGAAAUCCCCGGGCUCAACCUGGGAACUGCAUUUGUGACUGCAUCGCUGGAGGGCGGCAGAGGGGGGUAGAAUUCCACGUGUAGCAGUGAAAUGCGUAGAGAUGUGGAGGAACACCGAUGGCGAAGGCAGCCCCCUGGGUCAAGAUUGACGCUCAUGCACGAAAGCGUAGGGAGCAAACAGG
Molecule: ribosomal RNA, 253 nt
Filed under: uncultured bacterium
Lineage: Bacteria
Description: partial 16S ribosomal RNA
Rfam family: Bacterial small subunit ribosomal RNA
Source: RNAcentral